This 115-nucleotide ribosomal RNA is filed under the name Bacillus cereus VD142. Lineage: Bacteria; Bacillati; Bacillota; Bacilli; Caryophanales; Bacillaceae. The record is from RNAcentral.
UGGUGGCGAUGGCAGAGAGGUCACACCCGUUCCCAUACCGAACACGGAAGUUAAGCUCUUUAGCGCCGAUGGUAGUUGGGACCUUGUCCCUGUGAGAGUAGGACGUCGCCAAGCA